RNAcentral lists this ribosomal RNA (698 nucleotides) under uncultured soil bacterium. Its description in RNAcentral is "bacterial SSU rRNA". It matches the Rfam family "Bacterial small subunit ribosomal RNA", at positions 67 to 762 of the family's 1533-position model. The record is from RNAcentral.
CGGUAACAGGUCUUCGGAUGCUGACGAGUGGCGAACGGGUGAGUAAUACAUCGGAACGUGCCCGAUCGUGGGGGAUAACGGAGCGAAAGCUUUGCUAAUACCGCAUACGAUCUACGGAUGAAAGCAGGGGACCGCAAGGCCUUGCGCGGACGGAGCGGCCGAUGGCAGAUUAGGUAGUUGGUGGGAUAAAAGCUUACCAAGCCGACGAUCUGUAGCUGGUCUGAGAGGACGACCAGCCACACUGGGACUGAGACACGGCCCAGACUCCUACGGGAGGCAGCAGUGGGGAAUUUUGGACAAUGGGCGCAAGCCUGAUCCAGCCAUGCCGCGUGCAGGAUGAAGGCCUUCGGGUUGUAAACUGCUUUUGUACGGAACGAAAAGACUCUGGUUAAUACCUGGGGUCCAUGACGGUACCGUAAGAAUAAGCACCGGCUAACUACGUGCCAGCAGCCGCGGUAAUACGUAGGGUGCAAGCGUUAAUCGGAAUUACUGGGCGUAAAGCGUGCGCAGGCGGUUAUGUAAGACAGAUGUGAAAUCCCCGGGCUCAACCUGGGAACUGCAUUUGUGACUGCAUAGCUAGAGUACGGCAGAGGGGGAUGGAAUUCCGCGUGUAGCAGUGAAAUGCGUAGAUAUGCGGAGGAACACCGAUGGCGAAGGCAAUCCCCUGGGCCUGUACUGACGCUCAUGCACGAAAGCGU